Molecule: long non-coding RNA, 765 nt
Organism: Ornithodoros turicata
Lineage: Eukaryota; Metazoa; Arthropoda; Arachnida; Ixodida; Argasidae
Exons: 2
Source: RefSeq, a predicted model, not a curated record
CGGUAACAGCGCAGAAAAGACAGCCAUCCUGACGACUGGUGUGAGCAGCAGCGAGCGGCGGAGAGGUUCCUUCGGCAGAUUACGGAAGUGGCCUACUGCAGGGAACGGCGAUUUUGUCUUUCCUGCCCGUCAUGCCGCUCAAGAGGAAUUCCAGCUCCCUCGACAGUGCCGUGGACGAGUCUGCGGCACAAGACCUGCUACAGCAGAUGAUUUCACUCCGUACGCUAUACUGUCUCAACAGCUCGGCAGCACUCCCGCCGUCCCCGGACACCCGCUGCGCACGAACGUGACUGUACACUGUACCGACGGUUUCCAGCCACAGCGACACCAGGUCAAGAGUUCCUCAUCGACUUGGACGUUUGCCAGACGACUGUCCUAGUCACCGACGAGGGCGUCCGGCUCUGAUACAGUCCGCAACUCCUGAUUGACUGUCGUUCCGGUGACAUUUUGCACUUGUCAGACGUUUGAAAAAAUGGGAGGGACUGUGGCAAUGUGUUAUCACUGAUAGCCCCCCCCCCCCCCCCCCCCUCCUACACGUGCAGUCUCCCUUCUUUGGGAGGGAACCUGAAGCUCCGGACCGCUAUGCGAGCGCGUAAAAGAAAUGAAUCUUGACGACGUCGUCAAGGUCUAUUUCUUUUACGUUUCUUUCUUUCUUGCGUUUUCGCUGCCAGCAACAGCACACUGUUGCUGGCAGCGGACAGUUUACGACGCCGUGGUCCCCUGCAGGGAACGGCGGUGUGAGCAAAUGAACAUGCUGUUGUUUGA